RNAcentral lists this ribosomal RNA (445 nucleotides) under uncultured bacterium. RNAcentral's name for it is "partial 16S ribosomal RNA". It matches the Rfam family "Bacterial small subunit ribosomal RNA", at positions 354 to 796 of the family's 1533-position model. The record is from RNAcentral.
GUGAGGAAUAUUGGUCAAUGGGCGAGAGCCUGAACCAGCCAAGUCGCGUGAAGGAAGAAGGAUCUAUGGUUCGUAAACUUCUUUUGCAGGGGAAUAAAGUGCAGGACGUGUCCUGUUUUGUAUGUACCCUGAGAAUAAGGAUCGGCUAACUCCGUGUCAGCAGCCGCGGUAAUACGGAGGAUCCGAGCGUUAUCCGGAUUUAUUGGGUUUAAAGGGUGCGUAGGUGGUUUGAUAAGUCAGCGGUGAAAGUUUGCAGCUUAACUGUAAAAAUGCCGUUGAAACUGUCGGACUUGAGUGUAAAUGAGGUAGGCGGAAUGCGUGGUGUAGCGGUGAAAUGCAUAGAUAUCACGCAGAACUCCGAUUGCGAAGGCAGCUUACUAAGCUACAACUGACACUGAAGCACGAAAGCGUGGGGAUCAAACAGGAUUAGAUACCCUAGUAGUCC